This is a long non-coding RNA of Carassius gibelio (silver crucian carp), 448 nucleotides long. RefSeq lists it as uncharacterized. The record is from RefSeq and is a predicted model, not a curated record. The transcript has 3 exons. Lineage: Eukaryota; Metazoa; Chordata; Actinopteri; Cypriniformes; Cyprinidae.
UUCAAGUCUAAAAUAUCGAGCUCAACAGCUAUUUUAAGAGCCAACCCUCACAAACCUUCCUAAAACCUAAAAGAGCUAUUACUGAGUCUCAGCGAAUCUUGCCAUGAUCAGCUCUUCCCAGAAGAGAAGGAAGACCAAGGAUAUGAUUUGCUCAGGAUGAGGAAUGAAGAUGGCCAUCUUGAGCUCAAACAAACAGAAGUCCUCUGAUGAUCUCAUCAGCCAAAUGAGGGGUUUUGACCAAGUGAUGCUCUUGAAAGGAGUGAAAGAAGAGGAUGUGGUAAAUUGUCUUCAGAGAAAAGCUUCUCAAAAGAUCUUAAAACAGCUUGAAGAAUGGUAAGUGUACAGUACUACAAGGGUCAUAGUUACUCACCCUGCUAAAACCACACAGAACAUAAGCUGCGCUCUCUGUCCAUUAAACAACUUCUUCUGCAUUGUUUGUUUCACUUUG